GAUGAAGAACGUAGCGAAAUGCGAUAAGUAGUGUGAAUUGCAGAAUUCAGUGAAUCAUCGAAACUUUGAACGCACAUUGCGCCCCUUGGUAUUCCAUGGGGCAUGCCUGUUCGAGCGUCAUUUGUACCCUCAAGCUUUGCUUGGUGUUGGGUGUUUGUCCUCUCCUUUGCGUUUGGACUCGCCUUAAAGCAAUUGGCAGCCAGUGUUUUGGUAUUGAAGCGCAGCACAUUUUGCGAUUCUAGCCGAUAAUACUUGCGUCCAUAAGCCUUUUUUAACUUUUGACCUCGGAUCAGGUAGGGAUACCCGCUGAACUUAAGCAUAUCAAUAAGCGGAGGA
Molecule: unclassified non-coding RNA, 336 nt
Filed under: soil metagenome
Description: partial contains 5.8S ribosomal RNA, internal transcribed spacer 2, and large subunit ribosomal RNA
Rfam family: 5.8S ribosomal RNA (bases 1-120)
Source: RNAcentral